UAUGUAUAUAUAAUAGUUAAAUAAAUGUAUAUACUUGUAUAAUAUUAUGUGUAGCCUUGUGACAUUAUCACGAUGGUAACUUGUGUACGAGUGAUUCACCCCUUACAACAGUUAGUGCAGGAUUCUAAGACCUCAUGUUGAAGUUCAUUAAGAAACGGAAAACGUGAUUGUGAGAGACAUUAAUUAUAAUACAAGGACCGUUAGUGUUGAUUAGUGAUCUAGUUUAUUUUUGGAGUCCGAAGAGAAAGAUCUCUUUGAUAUGUAUUGAUGACGUCAUUGGACUGGAUGACAGGCAUCUGUGGUGUUUGAUCAGCUCGUGAUUAUUUGUUGGUUAGAGUCUUUUGUAGGAAAUUAUCUUUUAUUAUUUCUUAUUGAAAAAUUGUACGAUACUUAUGUGAAAUGGAAAUGUUUUAGAUUUGAAAAUCCUUUGAGCAAAAUUACUAGAUGAUUGUUUGAUAUAAGUGAUGCAUAUUAUUUAUGGGNNNNNNNNNUUUCUCACUUAUUACUUUCUUUUUACCAAAAAUAAAUCAGCAUGAUUUUAUUUGCUUGUAUUUAAGCAUUUAAAUUUGGGUAGAGAACUGUGACGCUCUUCUUUUCAGUCUCUGAAAAGG
This 611-nucleotide long non-coding RNA is filed under the name Trifolium pratense (red clover). RNAcentral describes it as "long non-coding RNA (TPRA_LNC008161)". The record is from RNAcentral. Lineage: Eukaryota; Viridiplantae; Streptophyta; Magnoliopsida; Fabales; Fabaceae.